GCUUAUUUAGUUUAUUAGAAUAAGGAAUUGUAAAUUCCUAGGUAAGUUAAGUAUUUAUGAGGCU
Molecule: transfer RNA, 64 nt
Filed under: Hygrobates taniguchii
Lineage: Eukaryota; Metazoa; Arthropoda; Arachnida; Trombidiformes; Hygrobatidae
Description: tRNA-Tyr
Source: RNAcentral